This 468-nucleotide ribosomal RNA is filed under the name uncultured bacterium. RNAcentral describes it as "partial 16S ribosomal RNA". It matches the Rfam family "Bacterial small subunit ribosomal RNA", at positions 28 to 507 of the family's 1533-position model. The record is from RNAcentral.
GACGAACGCUGGCGGCGUGCUUAACACAUGCAAGUCGAACGGAAAGGCCCUGCUUUUGUGGGGUGCUCGAGUGGCGAACGGGUGAGUAACACGUGAGUAACCUGCCCUUGACUUUGGGAUAACUUCAGGAAACUGGGGCUAAUACCGGAUAGGAGCUCCUGCUGCAUGGUGGGGGUUGGAAAGUUUCGGCGGUUGGGGAUGGACUCGCGGCUUAUCAGCUUGUUGGUGGGGUAGUGGCUUACCAAGGCUUUGAAGGGUAGCCGGCAUGAGAGGGUGAACGGCCACAUUGGGACUGAGGUACGGCCCAGACUCCUACGGGAGGCAGCAGUGGGGAAUAUUGCACAAUGGGCGGAAGCCUGAUGCAGCAACGCCGCGUGCGGGAUGACGGGCUUCGGGGUGUAAACCGCUUUCGCCUGUGACGAAGAGUGAGUGACGGUAAUGGGUAAAGAAGCACCGGCUAACUACGUG